This is a long non-coding RNA of Etheostoma cragini (Arkansas darter), 374 nucleotides long. RefSeq lists it as uncharacterized. NCBI's taxonomy places the organism in Eukaryota, Metazoa, Chordata, Actinopteri, Perciformes, Percidae. The record is from RefSeq and is a predicted model, not a curated record. The transcript has 3 exons.
GAAAGCAGUUGUCAACAAUGGCAUGUGGGACCAAAUUAGAGUGGAUCAUGGCAGGGAGUUUUACUUGACCCUGUACAUGCAAGAAAAGCUGUCUCAACACAUACAUAACAUCAACAGGCUGCCUUAUGUACAGACAACUUCUUCAAGGAACCUUCGUGUGGAAAGAAUUUGGCUAGAGGUCAACAAUCGGGUGAGCUAUCCACUAAAACAGGCCCUGGUUCACCUGCUUGAUCAACAGCUGCUUGACAUCCAGGAUAAUGUAACCAAAUUUUGUGUCUCCAACCUUGCAUGUCAAGUGAGUCAGAUUGGACUUGGCAGGGUUGUACAGUCAUGGAAUGCCCAUAGGAUACCAGGCAGAGGGAUACCAAACCAAC